GAUUAACGCUGGCGGCGUGCCUAACACAUGCAAGUCGAGCGGCAGCGAGUUUUACACUGAAUUCUGAAAGCUUCUAGUUGAAAGAGAAGAUUUAUUCAAGAAUUUUGUGUAAAAUGUCGGCGAGCGGCGGACGGCUGAGUAACGCGUGGGAACGUACCCCAAAGUGAGGGAUAACGCAUCGAAAGGUGUGCUAAUACCGCAUAUGGUCUUCGGAUUAAAGCCUUCGGGCGCUUUGGGAACGGCCUGCGUAAGAUUAGAUAGUUGGUGGGGUAAUGGCCUACCAAGCCGACGAUCUUUAACUGGUUUGAGAGGAUGAUCAGUCAGACUGGAACUGAGACACGGUCCAGACUCCUACGGGAGGCAGCAGUGAGGAAUCUUCCACAAUGGGCGAAAGCCUGAUGGAGCAACGCCGCGUGCAGGAUGAAGGCCUUCGGGUUGUAAACUGCUUUUAUAAGUGAGGAUUAUGACAGUAACUUAUGAAUAAGGAUCGGCUAACUACGUG
RNAcentral lists this ribosomal RNA (502 nucleotides) under uncultured bacterium. RNAcentral describes it as "partial 16S ribosomal RNA". It matches the Rfam family "Bacterial small subunit ribosomal RNA", at positions 28 to 507 of the family's 1533-position model. The record is from RNAcentral.